RNAcentral lists this transfer RNA (76 nucleotides) under Bacillota bacterium. RNAcentral's name for it is "Firmicutes bacterium (sediment metagenome) tRNA-Ala". It matches the Rfam family "tRNA". From Rfam's summary of the family: Transfer RNA (tRNA) molecules are approximately 80 nucleotides in length. Lineage: Bacteria; Bacillati; Bacillota. RNAcentral also lists the same sequence under 4 other names. The record is from RNAcentral.
GGGCCGGUGGCGCAGCUGGGAGCGCGCCGCAAUCGCACUGCGGAGGUCGGGGGUUCGAAUCCCCUCCGGUCCACCA